GCAGUCGAGCGGAACCAUUGGAGCUUGCUCCUUUGGUUUAGCGGCGGACGGGUGAGUAACACGUGGGCAACCUGCCCUGCAGAUCGGGAUAACUCCGGGAAACCGGUGCUAAUACCGAAUAGUUUGCGGCCUCUCAUGAGGCUGCACGGAAAGACGGUUUCGGCUGUCACUGCAGGAUGGGCCCGCGGCGCAUUAGCUAGUUGGUGGGGUAACGGCCUACCAAGGCGACGAUGCGUAGCCGACCUGAGAGGGUGAUCGGCCACACUGGGACUGAGACACGGCCCAGACUCCUACGGGAGGCAGCAGUAGGGAAUCUUCCGCAAUGGACGAAAGUCUGACGGAGCAACGCCGCGUGAGUGAAGAAGGUUUUCGGAUCGUAAAACUCUGUUGUGAGGGAAGAACAAGUAUCAACUAACUAUUGGUACCUUGACGGUACCUCACCAGAAAGCCACGGCUAACUACGUGCCAGCAGCCGCGGUAAU
Molecule: ribosomal RNA, 482 nt
Filed under: uncultured bacterium
Lineage: Bacteria
Description: bacterial SSU rRNA
Rfam family: Bacterial small subunit ribosomal RNA
Source: RNAcentral